This 468-nucleotide ribosomal RNA is filed under the name uncultured bacterium. Its description in RNAcentral is "partial 16S ribosomal RNA". The stretch from base 58 to 468 matches the Rfam family "Bacterial small subunit ribosomal RNA", at positions 39 to 507 of the family's 1533-position model. The record is from RNAcentral.
GGGGGGGGGGGGGGGGGGGGGGGGGGCGGGGGGGGCGGGGGGGGGGGCGGUGCUGGUGUGGGGUGCUCGCGUGGCGCAGGGGGGGGUGACACGUGCGUAGCCUGCCCUUGACUUUGUGCGAACUUCAGGAAACUGGGGCUCAUACCGGAUAGGAGCUCCUGCUGCAGGGUGGGGGGUGGAACGUUUCGGCGGUUGGGGAUGGACUCGCGGCUUAUCCGCUUGUUGGUGGGGUAGUGGCUUACCAAGGCUUUGACGGGUAGCCGGCCUGAGAGGGUGACCGGCCACAUUGGGACUGAGAUACGGCCCAGACUCCUACGGGAGGCAGCAGUGGGGAAUAUUGCACAAUGGGCGGAAGCCUGAUGCAGCAACGCCGCGUGCGGGAUGACGGCCUUCGGGUUGUAAACCGCUUUCGCCUGUGACGAAGCGUGGGUGACGGUAAUGGGUAAAGAAGCACCGGCUAACUACGUG